CAGCCGUAAACUAUGCUCGCUAGGUGUCAGGCAUGGCGCGACCGUGUCUGGUGCCGCAGGGAAGCCGUGAAGCGAGCCACCUGGGAAGUACGGCCGCAAGGCUGAAACUUAAAGGAAUUGGCGGGGGAGCACAACAACGGGUGGAGCCUGCGGUUUAAUUGGACUCAACGCCGGACAACUCACCGGGGGACACAGCAAUAUGUAGGCCAGGCUGAAGACCUUGCCUGAAUCGCUGAGAGGUGGUGCAUGGCGUAGACGUCU
Molecule: ribosomal RNA, 261 nt
Filed under: uncultured archaeon
Lineage: Archaea
Description: partial 16S ribosomal RNA
Rfam family: Archaeal small subunit ribosomal RNA
Source: RNAcentral